Molecule: ribosomal RNA, 1395 nt
Filed under: Triticum aestivum (bread wheat)
Lineage: Eukaryota; Viridiplantae; Streptophyta; Magnoliopsida; Poales; Poaceae
Description: partial small subunit ribosomal RNA
Source: RNAcentral
AUGGCGGCCGAGGGGGGCGGAGGAGGAGGCGGCGGCGGAGCCGGGGAGGGGUUCGAGGAGCGGGUGAAGCGCCUCUUCGGGUCGCGUCUCUUCGGCGACGUACCGAGCUCCUCCUUCCCCGCAGCUUCCUGGUCCGUCGCCGCCGGAGAUGUUGAGCGCCAGCUCUGGGCGCGCCCGUCGGAGGCCCGCGACGAGGAGGAGGAGCGCGCCGCGGCCGAGCGCGCCGACACGCCGUGCUCGUCCGCGUUCUACGAUGCCAACGGGUGCCUCCGCGGCCGGAGGCGGCGGUCCAAGCAGGACUUUGAGGACGACCCCGAAGAUGAUGACGAGGAUGAGGAGGAUGUGAGGGGCGAGGACCAUAGAAAGGAGGAGCAGGACGAGGAAGAGGAGGUUAGGGUUUCGAUCGGCCUCGACCCGACUCUGGAUCGGGAGGAAGAGGAGGACAAAUAUGAUAGAGCGGCAUUUGGUAAAGAAGAUGCUGCAGAACGUGUGUACAUGAGUGAAAUCAUGGAUGAGGGCAUUAAUAUGAGCAUCAAUACUGUAGUGCCUGACCUCCUUGAUGAUACCACUGAUGAGAUCUGCGGUUUAUCUAAGGAUCCUCGGGCAGAUCUUGAUGCAGCAUCUGCAAGGCUCAGAGAAGACAAUGGUUCAGUUAAAAUUGGCCUUCGUUCUCCAACUCAAACCAAGGAGUGUGCAACUGCUGGAAUGCAAGCAACGAGAGCUCAGGAUAUCGGUGUGAAACCUAUACUGAAGAGGAAGGAGGAGCAAGCCGAUUCAAAACCAAGGAAACGUGUGAGGUUUAAUGCCGAUGUUAAAGAACAACCAGUGGAGCUUCUUGAACAUGAUGAAGAUUCUCCCAUGGUUCCUCAGUCCAUGGAUGUGGUCACAACAAAGGGCAACUCGGGCAACUCCUCCACGCCAUCUGGGGUUCCUGACUAUGUUAGGAACCCUUCAAAGUACACAUGUUACACUCUGGAGACACCAGAGAGUACCGACGAAUCUAACAGGAGAGCUCUUGCAGACUUGCACAAUCUGUUAGGCAGAUCAGAUCCCAACAAGAUGCAGCCUGAGACACCUGCUGAGAUUCCUAGUUCAGUCACAUUCAUCCCUAGGAAGAAGUCAGUUGAUGCCAUGGUGGUGGAUGAGGGCCCCAGAUUUAGUAGUGCAAACCCAUCUCUCAUUAGUGCAGCAGCAGCAGUAGCCUCUGAUGGAACUGACCAAUGUGAGAUGGAUGAAGAUGACCCUAAAGCAUCACCACCACCACCACCACCACUGAUGCAGACCAACUCUAAGAUGAACUCCCGGCGUUACAGUUUCGUGACAAACAUAGUGUUUUACUGUGCAUUCAAGAAUCAACUUGGAGAGAAACAGAACAUCCAUGCAGUCCACAAUUAA